This is a long non-coding RNA of Nicotiana tabacum (common tobacco), 706 nucleotides long. RefSeq lists it as uncharacterized. NCBI's taxonomy places the organism in Eukaryota, Viridiplantae, Streptophyta, Magnoliopsida, Solanales, Solanaceae. The record is from RefSeq and is a predicted model, not a curated record.
CUCAUCUCUCUCAACCCUUUCAUCUCUCUCAUCUCUCUCGUUCUUCAAACCCUAGCAGUCCAAGUUCCACCAUUGUUACAGAGCAAAGGAACUCCAUUUUUUCCUCCCAAAAAAUCCGUCUCCACAACCUUCCUUCAUCCCUGACUUUUAGUCUCUCACCAUAACCCCCAAAUCGUCACUAAGCGGAGCCAAGUCUGGACUUGAAAAGGGAAGAAGACGAAAAGAUUUUUCUAGUUUGGGGCUGAAGAUUAAAAUCGAAACUGGUCUCGUUCGUCCGUUCUUGACAAGAACGCAUGAUUGAGACUAAUUUCAGCUCAAAGUCGAUGAGUUCGAGUUCCUUCAAGUUUGGUCCAUGUUCAGCUGUUGAAUAGGUAUUCCUGAUUCUCUAAGAGAUGAAAUGCAAAAAUGAAAGUUGUAAUUGCCAGAAGUUUUUCAUGAAUAAAUGACUGUUUCUCUUUAAAUCUUUAAUGUCAAUUAUUUGUUUAAGAUUUCCUCGAAUCAUAUAGAGUAGAGUAAUGAUAUUCAGCCUAGUUUGUUCAUCUUAGUAUAGUAGUAGUAUUUUGGGGAUUCAUGCUGCCCUUUUGUUUAGUCAGAGAUUUGUGGACUGUUCGUUGGUUUGAACAUGUGAGGGACUGUAUAUAUGGACUGUUUGUUUAAGACAUUUUGGUUAUGCAUAUGUUCAGUUAUAUGAUUAAGUUUGUUUUUA